RNAcentral lists this non-coding RNA (29 nucleotides) under Homo sapiens (human). Lineage: Eukaryota; Metazoa; Chordata; Mammalia; Primates; Hominidae. The record is from RNAcentral.
UGCCACUUCUAUCACUGAGAGGUACAGGC